This 544-nucleotide ribosomal RNA is filed under the name uncultured bacterium. Its description in RNAcentral is "bacterial SSU rRNA". It matches the Rfam family "Bacterial small subunit ribosomal RNA", at positions 777 to 1319 of the family's 1533-position model. The record is from RNAcentral.
AAUAGAUACCCCGGUAGUCCACGCCGUAAACGAUGAGUGCUAAGUGUUAGGGGGUUUCCGCCCCUUAGUGCUGCAGCUAACGCAUUAAGCACUUCGCCUGGGGAGUACGGUCGCAAGACUGAAACUCAAAGGAAUUGACGGGGGCCCGCACAAGCGGUGGAGCAUGUGGUUUAAUUCGAAGCAACGCGAAGAACCUUACCAGGUCUUGACAUCCCACUGACCGCUAUGGAGACAUAGCUUUCCCUUCGGGGACAGUGGUGACAGGUGGUGCAUGGUUGUCGUCAGCUCGUGUCGUGAGAUGUUGGGUUAAGUCCCGCAACGAGCGCAACCCUUGUUCUUAGUUGCCAUCAUUUAGUUGGGCACUCUAAGGAGACUGCCGGUGACAAACCGGAGGAAGGUGGGGAUGACGUCAAAUCAUCAUGCCCCUUAUGACCUGGGCUACACACGUGCUACAAUGGACGGUACAAACGGUUGCCAACCCGCGAGGGGGAGCUAAUCCGAUAAAACCGUUCUCAGUUCGGAUUGUAGGCUGCAACUCGCCUAC